Molecule: transfer RNA, 65 nt
Filed under: Dipodomys ordii (Ord's kangaroo rat)
Lineage: Eukaryota; Metazoa; Chordata; Mammalia; Rodentia; Heteromyidae
Rfam family: tRNA
About the family: Transfer RNA (tRNA) molecules are approximately 80 nucleotides in length. Their secondary structure includes four short double-helical elements and three loops (D, anti-codon, and T loops). Further hydrogen bonds mediate the characteristic L-shaped molecular structure. tRNAs have two regions of fundamental functional importance: the anti-codon, which is responsible for specific mRNA codon recognition, and the 3' end, to which the tRNAs corresponding amino acid is attached (by aminoacyl-tRNA synthetases). tRNAs cope with the degeneracy of the genetic code in two manners: having more than one tRNA (with a specific anti-codon) for a particular amino acid; and 'wobble' base-pairing, i.e. permitting non-standard base-pairing at the 3rd anti-codon position.
Source: Rfam by way of RNAcentral
GGUGGCUCUGUGGUAGAGUGCUUGCCUUGCAUGCAUGAGGGCCUAGGUUCAAUUCCUCAGCACCA